AUUGAACGCUGGCGGCAGGCCUAACACAUGCGAGUCGAGCGGAUGAAGGGAGCUUGCUCCUGGAUUCAGCGGUGGACGGGUGAGUAAUGCCUAGGAAUCUGCCUGGUAGUGGGGGAUAACGUCCGGAAACGGGCGCUAAUACCGCAUACGUCCUGAGGGAGAAAGUGGGGGAUCUUCGGACCUCACGCUAUCAGAUGAGCCUAGGUCGGAUUAGCUAGUUGGUGGGGUAAAGGCCUACCAAGGCGACGAUCCGUAACUGGUCUGAGAGGAUGAUCAGUCACACUGGAACUGAGACACGGUCCAGACUCCUACGGGAGGCAGCAGUGGGGAAUAUUGGACAAUGGGCGAAAGCCUGAUCCAGCCAUGCCGCGUGUGUGAAGAAGGUCUUCGGAUUGUAAAGCACUUUAAGUUGGGAGGAAGGGCAGUAAGUUAAUACCUUGCUGUUUUGACGUUACCAACAGAAUAAGCACCGGCUAACUUCGUG
This 484-nucleotide ribosomal RNA is filed under the name uncultured bacterium. RNAcentral's name for it is "partial 16S ribosomal RNA". It matches the Rfam family "Bacterial small subunit ribosomal RNA", at positions 30 to 507 of the family's 1533-position model. The record is from RNAcentral.